UUUAAGAAAUUAAGGUUUGUUCUGUUUUAAAAUUCUCUUCACUAAAUAUCAUUGUUGUUAAGAUUCCCAGAAAAAUUUAACUUUUCAUACUUUCAAAUGAAAUUCUGAAACACACUUUUGAUGAGUCUCUUGUUUCUACUCAAUUUUUGUUAUGCUAUAUUUGAAAAGAAGGUUACUUUGCAUGGUAUUAUUAUUUACAUUUUGUUAUCCUUUACAUUUUUCCAUAUGAUUGUUGAUUGGUUUCUGAGAAUCUCGGCCUAUAUGUUUUUAAACUAACCAAUAAAACAACAAAGAAAACAAAAUUGAACCAACUCAAGUUACCGCUACUAUAAGUCCUGGUUGAAUGUGUUCAUUCUUUUAUCUUAAAACAACAACUCUUUAAUAAGUCGAAGAAAUGAAGUAUAAAUAAAUAAGUUAAAAUGUUUUACUCAGCCAUGCAAAUAACUUUCAGCCCAAUGGAAGUUGGGAGCACAACAUAGGGAAUGGUGGGACACCAAAGGUUGUAAAGAACAUACUCUGGAAAGCCAGGAUCCUUGAGGGAAAGCAUUUGAUGACCAUCUGUACUACUUAUCAUCUCCCCAGUAAUUAUCUAUGUUUUACUCAAUUAAAAUGAACAAAUUGUCAUAUGCCUGCAAUUUUCUGAUACGACACUCUCAAAUUUGGAGCAAUGACCAUAUUAUAUUUUAGCAAGUAUACUACUAAACUAGGUCAAAUAAGUUAGAUGUUUUUCCUAACUUAAAAAUUGAUCCAUGAAAGAAUUCCAAUAUUUCAUAAAGUUAUAUUGAAGAGCAGAUCUAUUGAGAAAAUCUUUCCAUUGUGAGUCAUGAAGACAUUCAAAGUGCAAUUAUGGAGAGACUUUUUACUAAGUAUUAACUAUUCAUAAAUUAUGCUUCCUACCACAUAUGAGAAUGUGUAUGAGUGAAGACUUUUUUCAUUGGUUAAUGAAAUGAGAAAUUAAUCUUCUGUUAAAUUUGGGUUAAACGUAUUUAACUGUCUUGGUACUUGACUGUAUGACUGUGACCUCAGUGAAGGAAUCUUCCAUUUUGUUUAUAAUUGAUGCUUUUUCCUUUCUAGGGUAAGUUUGUUUGUAUUGGAACAUCCUCGGGAGCCAUAGAAGAGAUUAUUACAAACUGAAAAAUAUCUAUGAAAUUUUCCAUUGAGCCUGUCGCCCUGUGUGACGACUUUGCAAUGACUCCCUGUCUGAGUGGGUGUGGAGGUCAGUGGAGGAGCCAGGUAUCCUCCUGUGGGUCAGAUCACACUGUGCUGGCUGGACAGAUUCACAGUGCUGUUCUUGGAUGGGGGAAGUGAUCCACGCGUGUGUUGCUGUCCAAUUUCUUCACCUCCUUCUCUAGGAGCCGCAAGCCAGAAGGUCACCAUUAAUCCACUGUUUUUUUCUCCCAUUAUAGGGUUAUUAAAUGGUCUAAUUUCAAUAGUAACAUCAAAUAUCACUAAUCGCCAAUUACCAUAACAUAUAAUAAUAAUAAUAAUAAAGGUUCGAAAUAUUGUGAGAAUUACCAAAAUGUGACACAGAGACAUGAAGUGAGUACCUGCUAUUGGAAAAAGUGUGCCAAUAGACUUGCUGGACACAGGGUUGCCACAAAACUUCAAUUUGUAAAAAAUGCUGUAUGUGCCAAACACAAUAAAGCAAAGCACAGUAAAGUUAGGUGUGUCUGUAUUUACUUACAACUCAAAUUAGAGCUAAGUUUGAUGAUAAAAGAAAUGGAAUACACAAUGUCCUCAGGAGAAUAAAGACAAAUUGUUUAUACCUCCACUUAUUAAGCAUGGAUGUAUUUUUCCUGGAUACUGUAGCAUGCAGUUCUCAGAGUACAAGGUGAAUGAGGCAAGGCCCUGUGAAACCAGCCCUGGCUUUCCAGAAGUAUUAGUAAAAGAGAAAUAAUACAGAAAAUAUUUCUAGUCAAUAUAUUUUGUCCAUCAAAUGGAAUUGUUUAUUAAAUAAAAUUAUUUUAAAGGUAUGUUAUUAAUUAAAUAAUUAUAUCUCAUUUAUUAAGAAUAAUCAUUGGAAAUCUGGCAUGGGGCUGCAUACUGGUAAUCCUAGCUACUUGGGAGGCUAAGGCAGGAGAAUUGUUUGAGCCCAGGAGUGAGCUAUGAUCAUGUACUUCAGCCUGGAUGACAUCGCAAGAUCUUGUCUCACAAAAAAAAAGAGUAACUAUUAGUUAAUCACUUUUAAAAGUCUAUAUGCAAUUAAUAUAAUAUUCUAUUUUGUAUUAAUCUUUACAGUAAGCCUGGGUGCAUAGGUACAUGCCUAUAGUCCCAGCUACUUGGAAAGCUGAGGUGGGAGAAUCCCUUGAGGCCAGUAGUUCAAGGUUGCAAUGUGUCAUGAUUGCACCUAUUAAUAUCCGUUGGACUUUAGCCUGAGCAAUAUAGUGAGACCCCAUCUCUAAAUUAAAAAAAAACAAUCUUUACAGUAUACAAGCAUGU
Molecule: non-coding RNA, 2439 nt
Organism: Microcebus murinus (gray mouse lemur)
Lineage: Eukaryota; Metazoa; Chordata; Mammalia; Primates; Cheirogaleidae
Source: RefSeq, a predicted model, not a curated record